GCGCCUGUAGCUCAGCAGGAUAGAGCACGUGGCUACGAACCACGGGGUCGGGGGUUCGAAUCCUCCCGGGCGCACCA
This 77-nucleotide transfer RNA is filed under the name Salifodinibacter halophilus. Its description in RNAcentral is "tRNA-Arg". It matches the Rfam family "tRNA". Rfam says of the family: Transfer RNA (tRNA) molecules are approximately 80 nucleotides in length. Their secondary structure includes four short double-helical elements and three loops (D, anti-codon, and T loops). Lineage: Bacteria; Pseudomonadati; Pseudomonadota; Gammaproteobacteria; Salinisphaerales; Salinisphaeraceae. The record is from RNAcentral.